GAGAAACUAAAAUAGCUUGCUAUUUUAGACUAAGUGGCGCACGGGUGAGUAAUAUAUAGGUAACGUGCCCUAGAGAGGGGGAUAACAGUUGGAAACGACUGCUAAGACCCCAUAUGCCUUUAUCACAAAAGUGAGCAAGGGAAAUAUUUAUAGCUCUAGGAUCGGCCUGUACGGUAUCAGUUAGUUGGUGAGGUAAUGGCUCACCAAGACAAUGACACCUAACUGGUUUGAGAGGAUGAUCAGUCACACUGGAACUGAGACACGGUCCAGACUCCUACGGGAGGCAGCAGUGGGGAAUAUUGCACAAUGGACGAAAGUCUGAUGCAGCAACGCCGCGUGGAGGAUGACACAUUUCGGUGCGUAAACUCCUUUUAUAUAGGAAGAUAAUGACGGUACUAUAUGAAUAAGCACCGGCUAACUCCGUGCCAGCAGCCGCGGUAAUACGGAGGGUGCAAGCGUUACUCGGAAUUACUGGGCGUAAAGAGCGUGUAGGCGGGUCAAUAAGUUGGAAGUGAAAUCCUAUGGCUCAACCAUAGAACUGCUUCCAAAACUGUUAACCUAGAAUGUGGGAGAGGUAGAUGGAAUUUCUGGUGUAGGGGUAAAAUCCGUAGAUAUCAGAAGGAAUACCGAUUGCGAAGGCGAUCUACUGG
Molecule: ribosomal RNA, 650 nt
Filed under: Arcobacter nitrofigilis
Lineage: Bacteria; Pseudomonadati; Campylobacterota; Epsilonproteobacteria; Campylobacterales; Arcobacteraceae
Description: bacterial SSU rRNA
Rfam family: Bacterial small subunit ribosomal RNA
Source: RNAcentral